This 593-nucleotide non-coding RNA is filed under the name Pongo abelii (Sumatran orangutan). The record is from RNAcentral. Lineage: Eukaryota; Metazoa; Chordata; Mammalia; Primates; Hominidae.
UUUGGAGGAGAUUCUUUCUAUCCCAUAAAGUUUUAAUUUCUGUUUAAUAUAUUAGGUAUUCAAAAGCUUACCAUAUAAAGCCAAAUAUCCUGUCUUCAAAGAGUUUAACAGUUAGUCAUUGUGACCAUCUAUUUAUGAUUAAAGCAAGGUUAUUUAAAUUUAAUGGCUAAAAGUGAUUUUAAGCCAUAAUAAUUUUCAACCUAAUAAUCUACAGUGUGAAAAAUGGCACUCUCAAAGUGGUAGAAGAGUAGAUUUUAAACCUGCAAUACUUAAAUUAUGCAAGAUCCAUAUACAAGUCAAUUCUUGUCAUGUCUCCAAUUAAAAGAAAAAUAUAAAUAAAAGCAAAAAUGAAGAAAAAAUAUGAUUCUCUCUGUAUUUUAAAACCUGUUCAACUGAGUAGUAACUAUAAAAAGAAAAUGUGUUAACCUCACAAUACUUCCAAACCUAGACAGCAGAGGGCGUCUUAGAAACAAAUACCCAACACAUUAAGUUGUAUAAAUCAAGCCACUUUAAGAACAAUGAAAACUGGGUUUUUACUCAUUGUAAUCACUUUGUAGGAUAUUAUAAACUGUGUAAAUAAAUGUAUUAAAAAA